This 1355-nucleotide ribosomal RNA is filed under the name Staphylococcus aureus. RNAcentral's name for it is "bacterial SSU rRNA". It matches the Rfam family "Bacterial small subunit ribosomal RNA", at positions 195 to 1533 of the family's 1533-position model. Lineage: Bacteria; Bacillati; Bacillota; Bacilli; Caryophanales; Staphylococcaceae. The record is from RNAcentral.
CAAAAGUGAAAGACGGUCUUGCUGUCACUUAUAGAUGGAUCCGCGCUGCAUUAGCUAGUUGGUAAGGUAACGGCUUACCAAGGCAACGAUGCAUAGCCGACCUGAGAGGGUGAUCGGCCACACUGGAACUGAGACACGGUCCAGACUCCUACGGGAGGCAGCAGUAGGGAAUCUUCCGCAAUGGGCGAAAGCCUGACGGAGCAACGCCGCGUGAGUGAUGAAGGUCUUCGGAUCGUAAAACUCUGUUAUUAGGGAAGAACAUAUGUGUAAGUAACUGUGCACAUCUUGACGGUACCUAAUCAGAAAGCCACGGCUAACUACGUGCCAGCAGCCGCGGUAAUACGUAGGUGGCAAGCGUUAUCCGGAAUUAUUGGGCGUAAAGCGCGCGUAGGCGGUUUUUUAAGUCUGAUGUGAAAGCCCACGGCUCAACCGUGGAGGGUCAUUGGAAACUGGAAAACUUGAGUGCAGAAGAGGAAAGUGGAAUUCCAUGUGUAGCGGUGAAAUGCGCAGAGAUAUGGAGGAACACCAGUGGCGAAGGCGACUUUCUGGUCUGUAACUGACGCUGAUGUGCGAAAGCGUGGGGAUCAAACAGGAUUAGAUACCCUGGUAGUCCACGCCGUAAACGAUGAGUGCUAAGUGUUAGGGGGUUUCCGCCCCUUAGUGCUGCAGCUAAACGCAUUAAGCACUCCGCCUGGGGAGUACGACCGCAAGGUUGAAACUCAAAGGAAUUGACGGGGACCCGCACAAGCGGUGGAGCAUGUGGUUUAAUUCGAAGCAACGCGAAGAACCUUACCAAAUCUUGACAUCCUUUGACAACUCUAGAGAUAGAGCCUUCCCCUUCGGGGGACAAAGUGACAGGUGGUGCAUGGUUGUCGUCAGCUCGUGUCGUGAGAUGUUGGGUUAAGUCCCGCAACGAGCGCAACCCUUAAGCUUAGUUGCCAUCAUUAAGUUGGGCACUCUAAGUUGACUGCCGGUGACAAACCGGAGGAAGGUGGGGAUGACGUCAAAUCAUCAUGCCCCUUAUGAUUUGGGCUACACACGUGCUACAAUGGACAAUACAAAGGGCAGCGAAACCGCGAGGUCAAGCAAAUCCCAUAAAGUUGUUCUCAGUUCGGAUUGUAGUCUGCAACUCGACUACAUGAAGCUGGAAUCGCUAGUAAUCGUAGAUCAGCAUGCUACGGUGAAUACGUUCCCGGGUCUUGUACACACCGCCCGUCACACCACGAGAGUUUGUAACACCCGAAGCCGGUGGAGUAACCUUUUAGGAGCUAGCCGUCGAAGGUGGGACAAAUGAUUGGGGUGAAGUCGUAACAAGGUAGCCGUAUCGGAAGGUGCGGCUGGAUCACCUCCUUUCU